RNAcentral lists this small RNA (75 nucleotides) under Pedobacter psychrophilus. RNAcentral's name for it is "Pedobacter sp. CCM 8644 Flavo-1 RNA". It matches the Rfam family "Flavo-1 RNA". The record is from Rfam by way of RNAcentral. Lineage: Bacteria; Pseudomonadati; Bacteroidota; Sphingobacteriia; Sphingobacteriales; Sphingobacteriaceae.
UUUUUGCGUUAGGGAUAGUAGUGAAAAUCCUUUUUGUUUUUCGCAAAAAGAUUGUAAUGGAUAGCCCGACCCAUC